UGGGGGAUAUUGCACAAUGGGCGAAAGCCUGAUGCAGCGACGCCGCGUGGGGGAUGAAGGCCUUCGGGUUGUAAACUUCUUUUGCUCUGAACAAGGCGCACCAUGGGGUGUGUUGAGUGUAGGGGUUGAUUAGCGCCGGCUAACUACGUGCCAGCAGCCGCGGUAAUACGUAGGGCGCGAGCGUUGUCCGGAAUUAUUGGGCGUAAAGGGCUUGUAGGUGGCUGGUUGCGUCUGUCGUGAAAGCCCAUGGCUUAACUGUGGGUUUGCGGUGGGUACGGGCUGGCUUGAGUGCAGUAGGGGAGGCUGGAAUUCCUGGUGUAGCGGUGGAAUGCGCAGAUAUCAGGAGGAAUACCGGUGGCGAAGGCGGGUCUCUGGGCUGUUACUGACACUGAGGAGCGAAAGCAUGGGGAGCGAACAGG
This 419-nucleotide ribosomal RNA is filed under the name bacterium. Its description in RNAcentral is "partial 16S ribosomal RNA". It matches the Rfam family "Bacterial small subunit ribosomal RNA", at positions 355 to 776 of the family's 1533-position model. The record is from RNAcentral.